UAAAAACCUCAUACAAGCAUUUUUAUCAUGGGAAAAGGAAAGAGAUGCUGAAAUACAAAAACAGCAUGCACAAGAGAUGACUGCUUUAGAAGAAAGAUUUAGGCUUACUGAAAGUAAUUUAAAGAAAGAAACAGACACUUUGAGACAGUUGAUGCUGGCCACUAUGAUAUGGUUAAAGAAAUACAAAGACAGUGAGGAGCAGAACCAGCAAGGGGCUUCAGGAGGUCAAGAAGAUCUGCUGUUCAAAGAAUGUAGCGACACCGUCUUGAAAAACAUGUUUCCUUCCAUCAUUGAUGAUUUUACUGAACGUGAGAAUGCACUGAAAGAACAGCUGGCGGAUUGUAAAGACACUGUGAGCACCUUGGAGAAAAUGUAUUCUUCCUUGACUGAUGAUUAUGUUAAUCAUCAGAUAAAGAGUGAAAAUGAGAAGCUCCAAAGAGAACUGGAGGAACUCGAACUCAAGGAAAGAGCGUUGGAACAAAAACGUAAGGAAGAGGAGGACAGGUUAAGGCUGGAGAAAGAUCUGAGUAGAAGAGAGAAGGAACUGGAGUCCAAAGAGAGAGGAACGGCAAAUAAAGAGCAAUACAUCCUGCUUAGUGGAGAAGAGCAUAUGCUACAUCUAACUUCUCCUGCGUUGUCUGAAGGAAAGCAGAGAUCUCUAGAUGAAAGAAAAGGAGAGUGGAAGAGCAAAGAUGAAGAUUCACAUGACAGUGAACCACUUGAGUUUGGAAAACCUGUGAGACGCAACAGCAGCCAAUUUGAGAUCCCUAAUAUGACUGAAAGUGAAGAUGAACCCCUAAACACACUCUGAAACCACAGACGUCAGUUGGAGGAUUCAACAACAGCAUUUUACUCCACUUCAUCAAUAUUCAGUAGACAACUCAAAAUGUGGUAAAGGUCAAAUAUCCAAUCCAUCUACAGUACAUGUGUGAAACACCUCACAGACGUCAAAAACAUGGAGACAACAACAGUUUAAAGUUAAUAUGGUUUCUGGGCAGCUGAGCAGGAAGUGAUGUUAGCAGAGGAAAACAUGCUUUUAAAAAUAGCUUAUUAAUGAAUAAAUAUGCUUUAUGUGAAAAUGUAAGAUGUAAUUUUAAAAGAUUAGUUGGAAGCCGAAGGGAGAGAGAAUCCCAAAACUAGUGGAUCUGGGGGUUUACCAUUAAAAAUGUGAUAUUUCUCACCAGAAAGAUUCACCCUUUAUUAAACUGAAAGUUUGUUUUAUGGAGGAUUUCUGUGAACUCUCUAGAUGAAAUAGCAGAGACCAGGUAUCUAUAAAAAAUAUUUUAUAUUUUUGUGCUCUGUCAUUCUUAAAAAAGGAAAUAAAAAAUAUAUUUAUAUAUUUGAGAAAUUAUUUCUUUAUUCUUAUUCAUAUUUCAUUAUUUUCACAACUAUAAGCAAAUCAAAAUAAGUAUAAUGUUGUAAUAUUCGAAUAAACUCGGAGUCAAACGCACAGUCAACGAAUGUGCCCCCAGGACUGACACAUGAUUCAGGUCAGAAACAAUGUUAUUGGCCAAUACGCCAUAUUACAUCAACACAAAACAAAACUACACACAAUGCCAUAUUUGCUUUACAUCUGAAGUAAUGGUCUAACAGCACCUUCUAGUGAGAAUGAGUUGUAUUACAUUAACACGCUGCAUAUUUAAAGGGGUAGUUCACCCUAAUGAAAGUUCUGUCACCAUUUACUCACCUUCAUGCUACAAACCUGAGUUUAUUUUCUUCUGCAGAACACAAAAAUAUAUUUUUGGGAGAUAUUGUUUGGGCCUCAGU
RNAcentral lists this long non-coding RNA (1767 nucleotides) under Sinocyclocheilus anshuiensis. Its description in RNAcentral is "lncRNA (ENSSANG00000036945.1)". Lineage: Eukaryota; Metazoa; Chordata; Actinopteri; Cypriniformes; Cyprinidae. The record is from RNAcentral.